Molecule: ribosomal RNA, 395 nt
Filed under: uncultured bacterium
Lineage: Bacteria
Description: bacterial SSU rRNA
Rfam family: Bacterial small subunit ribosomal RNA
Source: RNAcentral
AUUGCAAAAUGGGCGAAAGCCCGAUGCAGCAACGCCGCGUGGGCGAUGAAGGCCUUCGGGUCGUAAAGCCCUUUUUGAGGGGAUGAGGAAGGACAGUACCCUCAGAAUAAGCCUCGGCUAACUACGUGCCAGCAGCCGCGGUAAAACGUAGGAGGCGAGCGUUAUCCGGAUUUACUGGGCGUAAAGCGCGUGCAGGCGGAUUGGAGAGUUGGAUGUGAAAGCUCCCGGCUUAACUGGGAAAGGUCGUUCAAUACUUCCAGUCUUGAGUGCAGUAGAGGGAAGUGGAAUUCCAGGUGUUGUGGUGAAAUGCGUAGAUAUCCGGAGGAACACCAGUGGCGAAGGCGGCUUCCUGGACUGUAACUGACGCUCAGACGCGAAAGCUAGGGUAGCAAACG